This is a long non-coding RNA of Daphnia pulicaria, 528 nucleotides long. RefSeq lists it as uncharacterized. The transcript is spliced from 2 exons. The record is from RefSeq and is a predicted model, not a curated record. NCBI's taxonomy places the organism in Eukaryota, Metazoa, Arthropoda, Branchiopoda, Diplostraca, Daphniidae.
UCAACUGUGUUCAUUGUAGAGGCAUCAGUUGAGCCGAGUUGAGUGCAGCUGUCUAUAGAGCGCGAGGACUGACUUUGAAAAAGAAAUGAAGGUUUUAUUCAUUAUUAUCGCUGCUGCUGCCUUGCUGGUGGUCGAUGUUUCAGGCCAAUCGUUUUCCAAACCAAGUUUAUUCCGUUCCAAGCAGCAGGAAUCGGACUCGGAGUUGCCAUUCAGAUCUUCUCAGCGCGACUACCGUGAACCCAUCUACAGGUACAAUAAUGCCUUCCGUCCCUUGGAAGAAAUACCGACACCUAGGCCGCAUUUUAUGUUCUUUGUUAAAAGGAUGAGGAAAAUGCUUCUUGUGUAAAUAGCAUCAUUAGUUAUUUGUGUUUGUGUAGGUAAAUUGUUUUUUUCUUCAACAAUUUUUUUGAGUUGAUGUGUACUGGGGUUGAUUCCGGGUGCAAUAUUCACGAAAAUGAGCUUAAAGAUGCACUAGAGAUUGUAUCGAAAUCAUCAUAUAGUCAAUAAAAAGUAGUGUCAAAAGUCUUA